Molecule: long non-coding RNA, 310 nt
Organism: Cololabis saira (Pacific saury)
Lineage: Eukaryota; Metazoa; Chordata; Actinopteri; Beloniformes; Belonidae
Exons: 3
Source: RefSeq, a predicted model, not a curated record
UAUUUCGUUCCCUCGAAAUAAUCAUAUUAGCAUUAGCAUCGAUUUAGCAUAUCUUUCCCACGGAUGAAGCACAUUGACCAGUGAGUGGAGGAGCACGGAGCAGUCUGGAGCAUCUCACGUUCUCAGUCGUCAGAUGCCAACCAACCGCUGAAGUUAUCCUGAACUAAAAGGAGGAACGCUGCUCUAAUCUGACCAACCUUUGCCACGGUGUACCUGUGCACCAGAUUGAUGCGCCUGUAAUCCCUGCCCUAAAUCUGAACAUAGGAUUGCUGCUGUUGCAUUUUGCAGUCAAGCCAACCGAUCCCAGCCA